UCGGUCACACGGUUGCGCACAGAUUUGUGUGAGGAAAGUCCGAGCCCCAUAGGGCAGAAUAGCAGCUAACGGCUGCCGAGGGUGACCUUAGGGAUAGUGCAACAGAGAUAUACCGCCGUGCAAACGGUAAGGGUGGAAAGGCGAGGUAAGAGCUCACCUGCCGAAUGGAGACAUAUCGGUACUGUAAACCCUAUUCGGAGCAACGCUGACCGUGGCUAUACAUUUGCCCGAUGUGCCACAAAAAGCGGCUUGAGCAUACAGGCGACUGUAUGUCGAGAUAGAUAACCGUGCAAGACAGAACUCGGCUUACAGACCGACUCG
This 321-nucleotide RNase P RNA is filed under the name human gut metagenome. RNAcentral's name for it is "Bacterial RNase P class A". It matches the Rfam family "Bacterial RNase P class A". From Rfam's summary of the family: Ribonuclease P (RNase P) is a ubiquitous endoribonuclease, found in archaea, bacteria and eukarya as well as chloroplasts and mitochondria. The record is from RNAcentral.